GGGUCGAAGCGGAGAAUUUAAGCCCCAGUAAACGGCGGUGGUAACUAUAACCAUCCUAAGGUAGCGAAAUUCCUUGUCGGGUAAGUUCCGACCUGCACGAAUGGCGUAACGACUUCCCUGCUGUCUCAACCACAGACCCGGCGAAAUUGCAGUACGAGUAAAGAUGCUCGUUACGCGCGGCAGGACGAAAAGACCCCGGGACCUUCACUAUAGCUUGGUAUUGGUGUUCGGUUCGGUUUGUGUAGGAUAGGUGGGAGACUGUGAUGCCUCAACGCCAGUUGGGGUGGAGUCGUUGUUGAAAUACCACUCUGAUCGUAUUGGACAUCUCAACCUCGGCCCGUGAUCCGGGUUAGGGACAGUGCCUGGUGGGUAGUUUAACUGGGGCGGUUGCCUCCCAAAGAGUAACGGAGGCGCCCAAAGGUUCCCUCAGCCUGGUUGGCAAUCAGGUGUUGAGUGUAAGUGCACAAGGGAGCUUGACUGUGAGACUGACAGGUCGAGCAGGUAGGAAACUAGGGACUAGUGAUCCGGCACCGGCUUGUGGAAGCGGUGUCGCUCAACGGAUAAAAGGUACCCCGGGGAUAACAGGCUGAUCUUCCCCAAGAGUCCAUAUCGACGGGAUGGUUUGGCACCUCGAUGUCGGCUCGUCGCAUCCUGGGGCUGGAGUAGGUCCCAAGGGUUGGGCUGUUCGCCCAUUAAAGCGGCACGCGAGCUGGGUUUAGAACGUCGUGAGACAGUUCGGUCUCUAUCCGCCGCGCGCGUAGAAACUUGAGGAAGGCUGUCCCUAGUACGAGAGGACCGGGAUGGACGUACCUCUGGUGUGCCAGUUGUCCCGCCUGGGGCAUGGCUGGUUGGCUACGUACGGAAGGGAUAACCGCUGAAAGCAUCUAAGCGGGAAGCCUGUUCCAAGAUUAGGUUUCUUUUGAGGUCCCCUAUAGAUGAUGGGGUUGAUAGGCCGGAUCUGGAAGCAUCGUAAGGUGUGGAGGUGACCGGUACUAAUAGACCAAACAUUCAACACA
Molecule: ribosomal RNA, 1016 nt
Filed under: Enterococcus faecalis
Lineage: Bacteria; Bacillati; Bacillota; Bacilli; Lactobacillales; Enterococcaceae
Also listed under: 3 other names
Description: partial 23S ribosomal RNA
Rfam family: Bacterial large subunit ribosomal RNA
Source: RNAcentral